UCCGAGUUGACCCCGGCAGUCUCCUAUGAGUCCCCGCCAUCACGCGCUGGCAACAUAGAACGAGGGUUGCGCUCGUUGCGGGACUUAACCCAACAUCUCACGACACGAGCUGACGACAACCAUGCACCACCUGUGCAGGACCCUUGCGGACCCCCCAUCUCUGGAGGAUUUCCCUGCAUGUCAAGCCUUGGUAAGGUGGGGAUGACGUUCGUCUGAC
RNAcentral lists this unclassified non-coding RNA (217 nucleotides) under uncultured Frankiales bacterium. RNAcentral describes it as "contains 16S-23S intergenic spacer region". Lineage: Bacteria; Bacillati; Actinomycetota; Actinomycetes; Frankiales. The record is from RNAcentral.